AUUGAACGCUGGCGGCAGGCCUAACACAUGCAAGUCGAGCGGAUGAAGGGAGCUUGCUCCUGGAUUCAGCGGCGGACGGGUGAGUAAUGCCUAGGAAUCUGCCUGGUAGUGGGGGAUAACGUCCGGAAACGGGCGCUAAUACCGCAUACGUCCUGAGGGAGAAAGUGGGGGAUCUUCGGACCUCACGCUAUCAGAUGAGCCUAGGUCGGAUUAGCUAGUUGGUGGGGUAAAGGCCUACCAAGGCGACGAUCCGCAACUGGUCUGAGGGGAUGAUCAGUCACACUGGAACUGGAACACGGUCCAGACUCCUAAGGGAGGCCGCAGUGGGGAAUAUUGGACAAUGGGCGAAAGCCUGAUCCAGCCAUGCCGCGUGUGUGAAGAAGGUCUUCGGAUUGUAAAGCACUUUAAGUUGGGAGGAAGGGCAGUAAGUUAAUACCUUGCUGUUUUGACGUUACCAACAGAAUAAGCACCGGCUAACUUCGUG
Molecule: ribosomal RNA, 484 nt
Filed under: uncultured bacterium
Lineage: Bacteria
Description: partial 16S ribosomal RNA
Rfam family: Bacterial small subunit ribosomal RNA
Source: RNAcentral